Molecule: small RNA, 269 nt
Filed under: Arabidopsis thaliana (thale cress)
Lineage: Eukaryota; Viridiplantae; Streptophyta; Magnoliopsida; Brassicales; Brassicaceae
Description: ATSL059090
Source: RNAcentral
UAAUAAGCUAACUAUCUACUGUACGUCCAUUCGAUCCUAACUAACUCGUCCGUCUGUACUGUACGUCAUUAGAUGGUUCAGGGGCAUUUUCGUCGAAUUUGGCUGAAUGACUUAAUGGUGGAAGACUCCAUCCACUUUGCCAAAUCCUGCAGUAAAAACAUGGUCAACGGCUACUGUGUAUAAUUUACCCUUUAUUAAAUAGGGUUUCAAACAAAUAAAUAGGUACCCAAUUAAGCCUUUUUUUUAUAUAUAUUAGUUAUCCUUAAUAA